GAUGAACGCUGGCGGCGUGCCUAAUACAUGCAAGUCGAGCGAACGGACGAGAAGCUUGCUUCUCUGAUGUUAGCGGCGGACGGGUGAGUAACACGUGGAUAACCUACCUAUAAGACUGGGAUAACUUCGGGAAACCGGAGCUACUACCGGAUAAUAUUUUGAACCGCAUGGUUCAAAAGUGAAAGACGGUCUUGCCGUCACUUAUAGAUGGAUCCGCGCUGCAUUAGCUAGUUGGUAAGGUAACGGCCUACCAAGGCAACGAUGCAUAGCCGACCUGAGAGGGUGAUCGGCCACACUGGAACUGAGACACGGUCCAGACUCCUACGGGAGGCAGCAGUAGGGAAUCUUCCGCAAUGGGCGAAAGCCUGACGGAGCAACGCCGCGUGAGUGAUGAAGGUCUUCGGAUCGUAAAACUCUGUUAUUAGGGAAGAACAUAUGUGUAAGUAACUGUGCACAUCUUGACGGUACCUAAUCAGAAAGCCACGGCUAACUACGUG
Molecule: ribosomal RNA, 497 nt
Filed under: uncultured bacterium
Lineage: Bacteria
Description: partial 16S ribosomal RNA
Rfam family: Bacterial small subunit ribosomal RNA
Source: RNAcentral